CCUGGUGGCUCAGAGGUUAAAGCAUCUGCCUGGAAUGCAGGAGACCCGGCUUCGAUCCCUGGGUCAGGA
Molecule: transfer RNA, 69 nt
Filed under: Bos taurus (domestic cattle)
Lineage: Eukaryota; Metazoa; Chordata; Mammalia; Artiodactyla; Bovidae
Rfam family: tRNA
About the family: Transfer RNA (tRNA) molecules are approximately 80 nucleotides in length. Their secondary structure includes four short double-helical elements and three loops (D, anti-codon, and T loops).
Source: Rfam by way of RNAcentral